Molecule: ribosomal RNA, 253 nt
Filed under: uncultured bacterium
Lineage: Bacteria
Description: partial 16S ribosomal RNA
Rfam family: Bacterial small subunit ribosomal RNA
Source: RNAcentral
UACGAAGGGUGCAAGCGUUAGUCGGAAUUACUGGGCGUAAAGCGUGCGUAGGCGGUUUUCUAAGUCUGCCGUGAAAGCCCCGGGCUCAACCUGGGAAUGGCGGUGGAUACUGGAAAGCUGGAGUGCGGUAGAGGAGUGUGGAAUUCCCGGUGUAGCGGUGAAAUGCGUAGAGAUCGGGAGGAACAUCAGUGGCGAAGGCGGCCCUCUGGACCAGCACUGACGCUGAGGCACGAAAGCGUGGGGAGCAAACAGG